Molecule: ribosomal RNA, 533 nt
Filed under: uncultured bacterium
Lineage: Bacteria
Description: bacterial SSU rRNA
Rfam family: Bacterial small subunit ribosomal RNA
Source: RNAcentral
AAUAGAUACCCGGGUAGUCCAUGCCGUAAACGUUGGGCGCUAGAUGUGGGGACCAUUCCCACGGUUUCCGUGUCGCAGCUAACGCAUUAAGCGCCCCGCCUGGGGAGUACGGCCGCAAGGCUAAAACUCAAAGGAAUUGACGGGGGCCCGCACAAGCGGCGGAGCAUGCGGAUUAAUUCGAUGCAACGCGAAGAACCUUACCAAGGCUUGACAUAUACGAGAACGCUGCAGAAAUGUAGAAACUCUUUGGACACUCGUAUACAGGUGGUGCAUGGUUGUCGUCAGCUCGUGUCGUGAGAUGUUGGGUUAAGUCCCGCAACGAGCGCAACCCUCGUUCUAUGUUGCCAGCGGUUCGGCCGGGAACUCAUAGGAGACUGCCGGGGUCAACUCGGAGGAAGGUGGGGAUGACGUCAAAUCAUCAUGCCCCUUAUGUCUUGGGCUUCACGCAUGCUACAAUGGCCGUACAAAGGGCUGCAAUACCGCAAGGUGGAGCGAAUCCCAAAAAGCCGGUCUCAGUUCGGAUUGAGGUCCGC